Molecule: long non-coding RNA, 581 nt
Filed under: Betta splendens (Siamese fighting fish)
Lineage: Eukaryota; Metazoa; Chordata; Actinopteri; Anabantiformes; Osphronemidae
Description: lncRNA (ENSBSLG00000018929.1)
Source: RNAcentral
GGGAGAACCAUCAUCCCUCCUGAUCACAGACGACUAUGGCCUGUGCUAACUUUGACAUGGACAUUCACGGAGAGGAUGAACAGGGCAGGCCGUUCAGGGGAGAGCCAGUGAUCCAAUACUACCAGGCCUCAGAGCUCAUGCCAGAGAUCAAGGGCCCGCUGCACGACUUGCUGCAGAAACAACCUGCUGUGUUGGGGUCUCUGCAGAUUGUGAGCGGCAUCCUGAGUGUGGGUGUGGGCAUUCUCUUCGCUGUGACCCAGGAGAUGAAAGAGUCUCUCUUUACCCUCUUCAGAGUUUCCCACCUGACCGGAGCGAUGUUCUUCAUCGCUGGAGUCGUUUCCAACCUGCUGUUUAAAUAUCCCACAUUACUGCCCGUCUCCUUUGGGAUUAACUGCGGCUGUAUUGCUGUCGCUGCGGUCGCAGCGUGUCUGAUAGGCGUCGACCUGUCAAAGUGGAGCAAAGACAACGAACACCACCUGAAGAUGGAGGUGCUGGAGCUGUGCAUCUUGGUACUUGAGGUCCUUCUGUCGUCGGUGCUCUGCUUCUGGUUCUUUAAAGAAAAGCGGGCCAAAUCAUCGUGA